Molecule: ribosomal RNA, 207 nt
Filed under: uncultured bacterium
Lineage: Bacteria
Description: partial 16S ribosomal RNA
Rfam family: Bacterial small subunit ribosomal RNA
Source: RNAcentral
CGUGUAGGCGGCCGCACAGGUCCGUUGUGAAAACUGGAGGCUUAACCUUCAGACGUCGAUGGAAACCGUGCGGCUAGAGUCCGGAAGAGGAGAGUGGAAUUCCUGGUGUAGCGGUGAAAUGCGCAGAUAUCAGGAAGAACACCCGUGGCGAAGGCGGCUCUCUGGGACGGUACUGACGCUGAGACGCGAAAGCGUGGGGAGCGAACA